AGCUUUUGGGAGAAUUAGGAAGCCAUAUUAUAAUGGUGUAAAUUCAUUUAUUCAAUUUCCAAGAUCAAUUGUAGAUGGACAAGGUAAUAUUCUGCGCCCAUGUCUAAAGUUGGUCUAAUUCUUGUAUUAUUAUUUUCUUUGUUUCAGUUGUGGAACUAUUGGUGUUUGUUUGUACAAGUCGGAUUGGUCUCUCUCUUGCAAUUCCAGAUUGAAUAUGCAUAAGUUUGGUAGCGAGGAAGAUGGUAUAUAUACGCUUUACUACGAAGACUUUUUGUUUGGAUAUAUGCUUCUAUGAAGACUCUUUUUUUGGAUGAAGUUCCGAGUUUUCUUUUCUGGAUAUAUGCUUCUAUGAAGACUCCUUUUUGGUUGAAGUUUCGAGUCUUCUUUUUUUAUUUUAAUGAUGCUACCGAACUAUGAUGAACAUAUAUGGUAUGGUCUACCUUUCAUGUUUUUUUCAUGGGGACACUGAUGCUUUAGACCCUAUGGGUGUAUGGACAUUUUGGUGUAGAGUACACAGUUCUCGUGGUAAAUGGAUGUCUAAUUUGGACAUAAUUAUAUUGGUUUAUGAAGAUGUGUUGGCUAUUAUAUAUGGGGUAAUGUAUAAUUUAUUUGUU
Molecule: long non-coding RNA, 614 nt
Organism: Rhododendron vialii
Lineage: Eukaryota; Viridiplantae; Streptophyta; Magnoliopsida; Ericales; Ericaceae
Exons: 2
Source: RefSeq, a predicted model, not a curated record